This 370-nucleotide ribosomal RNA is filed under the name uncultured organism. RNAcentral describes it as "bacterial SSU rRNA". It matches the Rfam family "Bacterial small subunit ribosomal RNA", at positions 526 to 896 of the family's 1533-position model. The record is from RNAcentral.
CGUAGGGUGCGAGCGUUAAUCGGAAUUACUGGGCGUAAAGCGUGCGCAGGCGGUUCGUUGUGUCGGUGGUGAAAGCCCCGGGCUUAACCUGGGAAUGGCCAUGGAAACUGGCGAACUGGAGUGUGGCAGAGGGGGGUGGAAUUCCGCGUGUAGCAGUGAAAUGCGUAGAGAUGCGGAGGAGCACCGAUGGCGAAGGCAGCCCCCUGGGCUAGCACUGACGCUCAGGCACGAAAGCGUGGGGAGCAAACAGGAUUAGAUACCCUGGUAGUCCACGCCCUAAACCAUGUCAACUGGGUGUUCGGGAAGCGAUUUCUGAGUACCGUAGCUAACGCGUGAAGUUGACCGCCUGGGGAGUACGGCCGCAAGGUUA